UACGUAGGGGGCAAGCGUUGUCCGGAUUUAUUGGGCGUAAAGAGCGUGUAGGCGGCCAGGUAGGUCCGUUGUGAAAACUCGAGGCUCAACCUCGAGACGUCGAUGGAAACCCUCUGGCUAGAGUCCGGAAGAGGAGAGUGGAAUUCCUGGUGUAGCGGUGAAAUGCGCAGAUAUCAGGAAGAACACCCGUGGCGAAGGCGGCUCUCUGGGACGGUACUGACGCUGAGGAGCGAAAGCAUGGGGAGCGAACAGG
Molecule: ribosomal RNA, 253 nt
Filed under: uncultured bacterium
Lineage: Bacteria
Description: partial 16S ribosomal RNA
Rfam family: Bacterial small subunit ribosomal RNA
Source: RNAcentral